AUGCAUGCAGUCGAGCGAUGGAUUAGAGCUUGCUCUUAUGAAGUUAGCGGCGGACGGGUGAGUAACACGUGGGUAACCUGCCCAUAAGACUGGGAUAACUCCGGGAAACCGGGGCUAAUACCGGAUAACAUUUUGAACCGCAUGGUUCGAAAUUGAAAGGCGGCUUCGGCUGUCACUUAUGGAUGGACCCGCGUCGCAUUAGCUAGUUGGUGAGGUAACGGCUCACCAAGGCAACGAUGCGUAGCCGACCUGAGAGGGUGAUCGGCCACACUGGGACUGAGACACGGCCCAGACUCCUACGGGAGGCAGCAGUAGGGAAUCUUCCGCAAUGGACGAAAGUCUGACGGAGCAACGCCGCGUGAGUGAUGAAGGCUUUCGGGUCGUAAAACUCUGUUGUUAGGGAAGAACAAGUGCUAGUUGAAUAAGCUGGCACCUUGACGGUACCUAACCA
Molecule: ribosomal RNA, 451 nt
Filed under: Bacillus cereus
Lineage: Bacteria; Bacillati; Bacillota; Bacilli; Caryophanales; Bacillaceae
Description: bacterial SSU rRNA
Rfam family: Bacterial small subunit ribosomal RNA
Source: RNAcentral